AAGUCGUAACAAGGUUUCCGUAGGUGAACCUGCGGAAGGAUCAUUAUUUGAUCUGAAUUGGCGGCAUUUGAAAAAUGCAGCCUUUUUGCUUUGUGAACUGUCUUGUACUGUUUUUUUAAUAGUUGCUUCUUUUCUUCGGAAAAAAAAUAAAGACAACUUUCAGCAAUGGAUCUCUUGGCUCUU
This 183-nucleotide unclassified non-coding RNA is filed under the name fungal sp. RNAcentral describes it as "partial internal transcribed spacer region". The stretch from base 1 to 46 matches the Rfam family "Eukaryotic small subunit ribosomal RNA", at positions 1786 to 1831 of the family's 1831-position model. Lineage: Eukaryota; Fungi. The record is from RNAcentral.